GUAUAUCCUGGAGUUCCUCUGAACGCUUCAUGUGAAGGGCUACCUAGUGCAAACGUUAGAACCCUUCUUCAAUGAAGUGUUUGGGGGAACUCUUGGGCUUAA
RNAcentral lists this microRNA precursor (102 nucleotides) under Vigna radiata var. radiata (mung bean). RNAcentral's name for it is "mir-395 microRNA precursor family". It matches the Rfam family "mir-395 microRNA precursor family". Rfam says of the family: mir-395 was identified in both Arabidopsis thaliana and Oryza sativa computationally and was later experimentally verified. mir-395 is thought to target mRNAs coding for ATP sulphurylases. The mature sequence is excised from the 3' arm of the hairpin. Lineage: Eukaryota; Viridiplantae; Streptophyta; Magnoliopsida; Fabales; Fabaceae. The record is from Rfam by way of RNAcentral.